Molecule: RNA transcript, 2313 nt
Organism: Phragmites australis (common reed)
Lineage: Eukaryota; Viridiplantae; Streptophyta; Magnoliopsida; Poales; Poaceae
Gene name: heat stress transcription factor B-2c-like
Exons: 4
Source: RefSeq, a predicted model, not a curated record
ACAAAAAUCUUAUCACAUCCAGCAUCCGUGGCCCUACGGUCGACACGUGUCCCCUCCAACCUGGCCAUCCCGGCGCCUACCUGAACCUUCGAGAAGGAAGGGGGGCGAAAAGUCCAGGGAACCUUCGCGCACUUUCGCUCCCCCACACACCUCGCGGAGAACCAAAUCCUUCUCUAUCUUCAAUCGUAGCCGUCCGUCACACACACACGCUUGAUCUGACAGCCAAAAACACCGCCGCAUAGAGAUAUCUAUGAGGCCGGCCCCACCCGCCUGGCUAGCUUAGUCCCGGUCGAGUGGUUUUUUUGUCGCAGCCCGGUUCACAAAAUGGGUCGGGUUUUUUUUUCUCGUGCUGGCCUCCCGUUGAACUAUAAAAAAUUCCUAAUCCGCAAUCGAAGCUUCCAGAAGGCUUCUUCUUCCGUACCUUCCACCCAACGCGAGGCGGCUUUCCCGCAUCUGGAAACUUCGGUUUCCCCGACUCAGAUCCGGCCGGGCGGCGGUGGUCAGAUGGCUGAGCAGAUCGGCGCUGCCGCCGCGGAGGCCGCGGCCAGUGAGCCGCCUGCGCCUGCGCCUGUCCCGGCGCCGGCGCAAAGGUCGCUGCUGACGCCGUUCCUGACGAAGACGUACCAGCUGGUGGAUGACAUGGCGGUGGACGACGUGAUCUCCUGGAACGACGACGGCUCGACGUUCGUGGUGUGGCGGCCAGCGGAGUUCGCGCGCGACCUUCUUCCCAAGUACUUCAAGCACAACAACUUCUCCAGCUUCGUGCGGCAGCUCAACACAUACGGAUUUAGGAAGAUCGUGCCGGACCGGUGGGAGUUCGCCAACGACUGCUUCCGCCGAGGGGAGAAGCGCCUGCUCUGCGAUAUACACCGCCGGAAGGUGGCGCCGGCUCCAGCCGCGCCCGCGCAGGGCUUGGCGACGGCCGCAGCGGCGGCAGCGGCGUCCGGGGUGGUAACGGUGGCCGCAGCUCCGAUUCCCAUGGCGCUGCCGGUGACGCGGCCGGGCUCACCGGCGCUCUCCUCGGACGAGCAGGUCCUGUCGUCCAACUCCGGCUCCGCGGAGGAGCACCAGCUGGCGCCGUCAGGCUCCGGCGGGAGCGGCAGCAGGUCCGCGUCCGGCGACAUGGGCGAGGAGAACGAGCGUCUCCGCCGCGAGAACGCGCGGCUGACCCGCGAGCUCGGGCAGAUGAAGAAGCUCUGCAAUAAUAUCCUCCUCCUCAUGUCCAAGUACGCCACCUCCCAGCAGCUCGACUCCUCCGCGGCGCUGUCCUCCGUCGUCAACUGUUCGGGGGAGUCAUCGGAGGCCGUGCCCCCUCUUCCACCCCUCCCCCCGGCGAUACUCGAGCUGAUGCCCUCGUGCCCGGCCCUGGCCACUGCUGCCGCCGGCCUCGCAGCCGACGCGGGACCCGACGCGGCCGCGAGGCUGUUCGGCAUAUCCAUCGGGCUGAAGCGGUCGCGAGACGGCGACGGCGAGGACUCGGCGGACCACGGCGCCGGCGCGGAGGUGAAGCCGGAGACGUCGGAUCCGCAUUCAGGCAGCAAGGAGCAGUCGCCGGACCAGCACCCCUGGCCCAUAUACCGGCCCACGCCCGUGUACCACUCGACGCGGCCCUGCAUCGGACCGGACCCAGGGGCCGGGUCCGACCAAGACGGAUCCAACUCCAGGAACAGCUGCAAAUACGAGUAACCGUGAUUUGCAUGGGUGCUGGUUCUUGGAACCGCGUGUUCACCAAAUUUGUUAUGGGUCAACUCGGAGAGGGAUCACUCAGCAUUUAUAGGGACCCACAGGUAAACUGCAGACGUCAUUGGCAACUAGAAGUCGGGGAAAUAUUAGGUGCAAAUAUUAGGUGCAAAUGCGUUAUCGAGUGAAAAGUGGAAACAUGAAACUUCCACUGAUUCGAAGGUGAGGUUUGGAUGCUGCGUGGGAUUAUAUAGGGGCGUCGUCCAAUCGGUGUAGCUCAGGCUGAGGCGAAAUAAAGUGCAUUCGUCUUUCUGGAUUGUUCCUUGCUUACUUUUCUGAAGGAUGGAUGAUGGACUGCUAUCAGUGGUUGCAUUUGCAAGGCCAGCUGGUCGCCCUUCCGAAUCAUCUAAAGCAUAGUAUAAUUCCGGGAGACACUAGUCUGGAAAAAUAAUCCUAAUAGUAGAUAUAGAUGGAAUUCUUAGGUGAAAGAAAAAGAGCUAAUGCUAAAAAAGGCCUCCUACAAGGUGACCUCUUUUUCUAAUGUUAUUUAAUAUUGUAGUUGAUAUGUUAUCUGUUUUUAUCAAAUUUGUCAAAGCAGAUGGAUAAAUUUAUGAAGUGGUGCCUCAUUUCUUA